UUUACCAGACCCGGUAGGCGCGGGGCCUUAGUGGCGGACGGGUGAGUAACGCGUGGGGAACCUGCCCCGUACCGGGGGAUAACACCUGGAAACAGGUGCUAAUACCGCAUAACAGAAGGGGACGCAUGUUUCUUUCUUGAAAACUCCGGUGGUACGGGAUGGACCCGCGUCUGAUUAGCUGGUUGGCGGGGUAACGGCCCACCAAGGCGACGAUCAGUAGCCGGCCUGAGAGGGCGGACGGCCACAUUGGGACUGAGACACGGCCCAAACUCCUACGGAAGGCAGCAG
Molecule: ribosomal RNA, 288 nt
Filed under: uncultured bacterium
Lineage: Bacteria
Description: partial 16S ribosomal RNA
Rfam family: Bacterial small subunit ribosomal RNA
Source: RNAcentral